GAGACACCCUUUUGGGGGCAGGACUUGCUUCAGUGGGGCUUUGGUGCUCACUGAGUCUGCCCCUUGAGUAUGUCGCU
This is a non-coding RNA of Myotis davidii, 77 nucleotides long. The record is from Rfam. Lineage: Eukaryota; Metazoa; Chordata; Mammalia; Chiroptera; Vespertilionidae.